Molecule: transfer RNA, 108 nt
Filed under: Candidatus Woesearchaeota archaeon
Lineage: Archaea; Nanobdellati; Candidatus Woesearchaeota
Description: tRNA-Asn
Rfam family: tRNA
About the family: Transfer RNA (tRNA) molecules are approximately 80 nucleotides in length. Their secondary structure includes four short double-helical elements and three loops (D, anti-codon, and T loops). Further hydrogen bonds mediate the characteristic L-shaped molecular structure. tRNAs have two regions of fundamental functional importance: the anti-codon, which is responsible for specific mRNA codon recognition, and the 3' end, to which the tRNAs corresponding amino acid is attached (by aminoacyl-tRNA synthetases). tRNAs cope with the degeneracy of the genetic code in two manners: having more than one tRNA (with a specific anti-codon) for a particular amino acid; and 'wobble' base-pairing, i.e. permitting non-standard base-pairing at the 3rd anti-codon position.
Source: RNAcentral
GUCUCCGUAGCUUAGCGGUGGAGCGUGCGGCUGUUAACCGCAAGGUCCCCAGUUCGAAUAUUGGCGCCAGAUAUUUUAGACGCCUGUGAGAAAGUCUGGGCGGAGACG